CAGCAGUGGGGAAUAUUGCGCAAUGGGGGCAACCCUGACGCAGCAACGCCGCGUGCGGGAUGACGGCCUUCGGGUUGUAAACCGCUUUCAGCAGGGAAGACAUCGACGGUACCUGCAGAAGAAGCCCCGGCUAACUACGUGCCAGCAGCCGCGGUAACACGUAGGGGGCGAGCGUUAUCCGGAUUCAUUGGGCGUAAAGCGCGCGCAGGCGGCCGCGCAAGCGGGACCUCUAACCCCGGGGCUCAACCCCGGGCCGGGUCCCGAACUGCACGGCUCGCUCCAGGUAGGGGCAGGCGGAAUUCCCGGUGUAGCGGUGGAAUGCGCAGAUAUCGGGAAGAACACCGACGGCGAAGGCAGCCUGCUGGGCCUGUGAGGACGCUGAGGCGCGAAAGCCGGGGGAGCGAACAGGAUUAGA
Molecule: ribosomal RNA, 415 nt
Filed under: uncultured Coriobacteriaceae bacterium
Lineage: Bacteria; Bacillati; Actinomycetota; Coriobacteriia; Coriobacteriales; Coriobacteriaceae
Description: bacterial SSU rRNA
Rfam family: Bacterial small subunit ribosomal RNA
Source: RNAcentral